UUGCACAGGGUGUGGGACCGCAGGGUCGAGCUCCUGAUCGAUCGCUACCGGAUACCUGUCCCAUUCAAGCACAAUUAGAAAUGCAGCAUGUCCCUGCAGAGCCGUGGCAGGCCCAGCCUGUGUAAGGACGUACCAAGCUUUGUACCAAUCAAAAUUUGCACCGUCGAUCCCGCCGUCCAAUGAGACGUAAUCCGUUUUCUCCUCCCAUCCAUCGACCUUUCUGCCGCUAUCAUCAGAAUUAGGAGCAGCGAUCUGUUGGCGGGGAACCGUCGCGUUUUUCGAAGCACAUUGGUAGACACUCCUUUUCUGGUUUAUUGAUCUGUGAAUGUCUCGUACAAAAAAGCCCUUUGUAACGUCCUGAUCUUGCCGACAAACACUGACAAGGCUCCUGAUCGUCCUGAUCGGCAUCAAGAUUCUUACAGCGUUUGUGAACCUGUCAGUAGUUUAGGCAACUGUCAGGAGAUGCAUGCAGUGCUUGUCUUCACUUCAACAGGUU
Molecule: long non-coding RNA, 496 nt
Filed under: Coccomyxa subellipsoidea
Lineage: Eukaryota; Viridiplantae; Chlorophyta; Trebouxiophyceae; Coccomyxaceae
Description: long non-coding RNA (CSUB_LNC000248)
Source: RNAcentral